UAGAUCCUGAGGUGUACGUUAAGGAAACCAUAAUUGAACCUACACUACAUUCACGGGAGCUCGUGUUUAGACUGGCCUAUGCAAUGCCUCCAUAGAGUGGACUGCAGAAGCGGUGACAGAGCACCCACCUUAUCGCAAGAUAGGGCGUCAAUUAUAUUUCCUGACGGCUCACUUGGGAUUUUU
Molecule: non-coding RNA, 183 nt
Filed under: Candidatus Colimonas fimequi
Lineage: Bacteria; Bacillati; Bacillota; Clostridia; Peptostreptococcales; Anaerovoracaceae
Description: 6S RNA
Rfam family: 6S / SsrS RNA
About the family: E. coli 6S RNA was the first non coding RNA to be sequenced, but its function was unknown until recently. It consists of 184 nucleotides that fold into an extended hairpin structure with a large single-stranded internal bulge.
Source: RNAcentral